Molecule: ribosomal RNA, 430 nt
Filed under: uncultured Gemmatimonadota bacterium
Lineage: Bacteria; Pseudomonadati; Gemmatimonadota
Also listed under: 1 other name
Description: bacterial SSU rRNA
Rfam family: Bacterial small subunit ribosomal RNA
Source: RNAcentral
UGGGGAAUAUUGCGCAAUGGUCGAAAGACUGACGCAGCGACGCCGCGUGUGGGAGGAAGCCUUUCGGGGUGUAAACCACUGUCAGGCGGGAAGAACCGCGCGUGUCCAAAUACGGCACGCGCCUGACGGUACCGCCAGAGGAAGCGCCGGCUAACUCCGUGCCAGCAGCCGCGGUAAGACGGAGGGCGCAAGCGUUGUUCGGAAUUACUGGGCGUAAAGCGCGGGCAGGUGGUUUGUCUAGUCUUUUGUGAAAUUCCGGAGCUCAACUCUGGACAUGCAAGAGAUACUGGCUAACUAGAGACCGGUAGAGGCUAGUGGAAUUCCUGGUGUAGCGGUGGAAUGUGUAGAUAUCAGGAAGAACACCAGUGGCGAAGGCGGCUAGCUGGGCCGUGUCUGACACUCAUCCGCGAAAGCGUGGGGAGCAAACAGG